This 301-nucleotide ribosomal RNA is filed under the name uncultured bacterium. RNAcentral describes it as "partial 16S ribosomal RNA". It matches the Rfam family "Bacterial small subunit ribosomal RNA", at positions 509 to 807 of the family's 1533-position model. The record is from RNAcentral.
CAGCCGCCGCGGUAAUACGAAGGGGGCUAGCGUUGCUCGGAAUGACUGGGCGUAAAGGGCGCGUAGGCGGAUUGUUUAGUUAGGCGUGAAAUUCCUGGGCUUAACCUGGGGACUGCGCUUAAUACAGGCAGUCUAGAGUGAGGAAGAGGGUAGUGGAAUUUCCGGUGUAGCGGUGAAAUGCGUAGAUAUCGGAAGGAACACCUGUGGCGAAAGCGGCUCACUGGACCAUUUCUGACGCUGAUGCACGAAAGCUAGGGGAGCAAACAGGAUUAGAUACCCCGGUAGUCCCUGUCUCUUAUAC